UCCGGCUUGUCACCGGCAGUUUCUCCAGAGUGCCCAGCUUAACCUGAUGGCAACUGAAGAUGAGGGUUGCGCUCGUUGCGGGACUUAACCCAACAUCUCACGACACGAGUUGACGACAGCCAUGCAGCACCUGUGCGCGCUCUCGCCUUGACGAGUCGUCCCGGUUUCCCGGUCCUACUUCGCGCAUGUCAAGCCCAGGUAAGGUUCUGCGCGUUGCAUCGAAUUAAACCACACGCUCCGCUGCUUGUGCGGGCCCCCGUCAAUUCCUUUGAGUUUUAGCCUUGCGGCCGUACUCCCCAGGCGGGGCACUUAUUGCGUUAGCGCCGGCACCGAGGGGGUCGAUACCCCCGACACCUAGUGCCCAUCGUUUACGGCGUGAACUAC
This 384-nucleotide unclassified non-coding RNA is filed under the name uncultured bacterium. Its description in RNAcentral is "contains 16S-23S intergenic spacer region". The record is from RNAcentral.